This 326-nucleotide long non-coding RNA is filed under the name Ananas comosus (pineapple). RNAcentral's name for it is "long non-coding RNA (ACOM_LNC023222)". The record is from RNAcentral. Lineage: Eukaryota; Viridiplantae; Streptophyta; Magnoliopsida; Poales; Bromeliaceae.
CUGAACGCUAUGUGUUAUUUCUGGAUCGAGAAGGAUGAGACAGAGAAGAGAAGGCGGAGGGGCGGGUGGGAAAAAAAAAAAAAAGAGAGUUUGAGAGAGAGGAGUGGAAGUGGUGUAUGGGAUGGACUAAAAAAAUUUUGAGAGGGAUGAAACGGAGGGGCGUUUAGAAAGAGGGAAGGAACCCAAAAAUUUUAAUUAAAUAUGCCGCUCCUAAUUAAAGAGAGAGAGAAAGUGGGUCCCACUAAAAAAAUUAUUCUUAAUAUUUAGAGGAGAGACGAGUCCCAUUUUUUUCCUAAAACGCAGGAUUGAGGGGGAGGAAACGGAGG